This 416-nucleotide transfer RNA is filed under the name uncultured marine alpha proteobacterium. RNAcentral's name for it is "16S-23S intergenic spacer region". The stretch from base 107 to 180 matches the Rfam family "tRNA". Lineage: Bacteria; Pseudomonadati; Pseudomonadota; Alphaproteobacteria. The record is from RNAcentral.
UCUAAGGAUGAUUAAGGAUUAUUUCUUAAUCUAAAUAAUAUAACAGGUUAAUGUUGACCGUCCUCAUUUCUCUUUUUAAAAUUGUGUUUCUCCUUUUGCACAAAAGGGGCCGGUAGCUCAGUUGGUUAGAGCACACCCUUGAUAAGGGUGGGGUCGAAAGUUCGAGUCUUUCUCGGCCCACCAAUUUUCUGGGGGAUUAGCUCAGCUGGGAGAGCGCCUGAUUUGCAUUCAGGAGGUCAGCGGUUCGAUCCCGCUAUCCUCCACCAAGAAACACACAGUUAUUUUAUUAGUAAAUAUUUUAUUAUUAUCAAUAUCUAUAUCCGAUUGUUCAAAGAUCUGAACAAUCAAAUAAUAUUCGAAUAGAUGAAUAUUUUAAAAAAUUUGAUUCAACACAGAAUUUUUUUCUGUGCAUAAAU